Molecule: transfer RNA, 77 nt
Filed under: Polynucleobacter paneuropaeus
Lineage: Bacteria; Pseudomonadati; Pseudomonadota; Betaproteobacteria; Burkholderiales; Burkholderiaceae
Description: tRNA-Pro
Rfam family: tRNA
About the family: Transfer RNA (tRNA) molecules are approximately 80 nucleotides in length.
Source: RNAcentral
CGGAAUGCAGCGCAGCCUGGUAGCGCACCUCGUUCGGGACGAGGGGGUCGGAGGUUCGAAUCCUCUCAUUCCGACCA